UAAUUGAAGAGUUUGAUCAUGGCUCAGAUUGAACGCUGGCGGCAGGCCUAACACAUGCAAGUCGAGCGGUAACAGAAAGUAGCUUGCUACUUUGCUGACGAGCGGCGGACGGGUGAGUAAUGCUUGGGAACAUGCCUUGAGGUGGGGGACAACAGUUGGAAACGACUGCUAAUACCGCAUAAUGUCUACGGACCAAAGGGGGCUUCGGCUCUCGCCUUUAGAUUGGCCCAAGUGGGAUUAGCUAGUUGGUGAGGUAAUGGCUCACCAAGGCAACGAUCCCUAGCUGGUUUGAGAGGAUGAUCAGCCACACUGGAACUGAGACACGGUCCAGACUCCUACGGGAGGCAGCAGUGGGGAAUAUUGCACAAUGGGCGCAAGCCUGAUGCAGCCAUGCCGCGUGUGUG
RNAcentral lists this ribosomal RNA (404 nucleotides) under Pseudoalteromonas carrageenovora. RNAcentral describes it as "bacterial SSU rRNA". It matches the Rfam family "Bacterial small subunit ribosomal RNA", at positions 1 to 407 of the family's 1533-position model. The record is from RNAcentral. Lineage: Bacteria; Pseudomonadati; Pseudomonadota; Gammaproteobacteria; Alteromonadales; Pseudoalteromonadaceae.